This 642-nucleotide ribosomal RNA is filed under the name Triticum aestivum (bread wheat). RNAcentral's name for it is "partial small subunit ribosomal RNA". Lineage: Eukaryota; Viridiplantae; Streptophyta; Magnoliopsida; Poales; Poaceae. The record is from RNAcentral.
AUGCAGUUCGCCGGAGCCAUCCUGCUCCUCAUGUUCGUCCCCUGCGCCGAGGGACAACCGCCCGAGGCGACGCCGGCGGGGGGCUUGGCGAUCGAGCAGAUCCUGUCAAAGAACGGGUGCGGCGCCUUCGCCGGCCUCGUCGCCGCCACGGCCGGCGUGGGCCAGGUGCUCCGCGAGCAGAGCGACGCGGGGCUCGCCGUGUUCUGCCCGGACGACGGCGCGGUCGCGGCGUUCGCCCCGCGCUUCAGCAACCUGACCGCCGACCGCCAGGCGGCGCUCCUUCUCCACCACGGGCUGGCGGCGCGCUCCGGCGAGGUGGAGCUCUGGCUGAUCCACCGCCGCGGGCCAAUCGAGGUGCGGACGCUGGACGGGGGCCGCUGGGGCCACGGCGUGCUCAGCAUCUGCUACCUGGGAGGCGCCAUGCAGCUCGCCUCGUCGCCGCCGUCGUUCACGACGCCGGUCGAGGCCAGGGUCACCAGCACGGUCGUCUACAACGACCGCCUCACCGUCUACCUCAUCGACGCCGUCCUGGUUCCGGGAGCGCCGGCGCUGUUCGACUACUCGGACAUCUUGGUGACCACUUGCGUCAUGCUCGGGCUCAUGAUGUUAGUCUUGGGGUCGUGUGGUGCCAUUUGUUCGUGA